Molecule: ribosomal RNA, 486 nt
Filed under: Triticum aestivum (bread wheat)
Lineage: Eukaryota; Viridiplantae; Streptophyta; Magnoliopsida; Poales; Poaceae
Description: partial small subunit ribosomal RNA
Source: RNAcentral
AUGGGGCAUCGCAACCAGAUCGCACCGCCGGGUGGCAACGACAUGGACGGCUGGACAGAGGGGGGUAGCGGGGUAGGGGGGAGAGGCAACGCACCGUCGCGGAUCCCGUGCGCGGGCGGCGGGCGGGGGAGUGCCGCCGCGGGCCGGGCGCUCGUCGCCUCCGUUGGCUGGCUGGGGCGGUUCGGGGUGAGGAGGGCCAGCGGAAGGCCUCGAUUUGCGGGGCGAAGCGUGGGAGGGGGAGAGAGAGGGGGCAGCGAACGCGGAGAGAGAGGGGGCAGGUCUGCACUCUUGGUGGCGCGUGUUAAUGAAACCAGCAACAGCAAGAUCCGUGAGAUGAUUAGCGAGCAGGGUUGCAGAUUAAACGUACACGGGACGCUGUUAAGCGGAGGGAAUGUCCCUCCCGUGCCGAGAUGCGCGAGAGCGAGACGGAUAAUAAUACUCCUUCCGUUCCUAAAUAUUUGUCUUUUUAGAGAUUUCGACAAGUAA